GAUGAAGAACGCAGCAAAAUGCGAUAAGUAAUGUGAAUUGCAGAAUUCAGUGAAUCAUUGAAUCUUUGAACGCACAUUGCGCCCGCCAGUAUUCUGGCGGGCAUGCCUGUUCGAGCGUCAUUUCAACCCUCAAGCACAGCUUGGUGUUGGGACUCGCGUUAAUUCGCGUUCCUCAAAUUGAUUGGCGGUCACGUCGAGCUUCCAUAGCGUAGUAGUAAAACCCUCGUUACUGGUAAUCGUCGCGGCCACGCCGUUAAACCCCAACUUCUGAAUGUUGACCUCGGAUCAGGUAGGAAUACCCGCUGAACUUAAGCAUAUCAAUAAGCGGAGGA
RNAcentral lists this unclassified non-coding RNA (332 nucleotides) under soil metagenome. RNAcentral's name for it is "partial contains 5.8S ribosomal RNA, internal transcribed spacer 2, and large subunit ribosomal RNA". The stretch from base 1 to 120 matches the Rfam family "5.8S ribosomal RNA", at positions 35 to 154 of the family's 154-position model. The record is from RNAcentral.